Molecule: long non-coding RNA, 2945 nt
Organism: Sus scrofa (pig)
Lineage: Eukaryota; Metazoa; Chordata; Mammalia; Artiodactyla; Suidae
Source: RefSeq, a predicted model, not a curated record
UCUCAUACCGCGGCUCGGAAGGUUAGUUCACCUCUGUCUGCAGGCUCAGUUUUACAGGUAGCGAGACAGAGGUCCAGAAAGGGGAAGGUAUUUCCCCAGAACCACGAGGGUGACUUUAGUUUUAAGCGCCAACCUGAAGAUGCCUUUGAAUAUGCAUCCUUUUGUAUGUUACCUACACAGUUCGUGUGGUAUUAUUUUUCACGCUCCAGUUAUUUUUGUGAUAACUUUCAACUGGUACAAGUGAACUCUUUAUCAUGUUGCUUCUAGAGGUCCGACAUACCUAGAACGUGUCAAGGAUUUAUCUGCUGUAAAUAACCUCUUAAUCAGAAAGGGGAAGAGCGCAGGGUGGUUGUGAGACUCAAAAGGCAUGCAUCAAAAAGAGCAUUUGUAAACUCCAAAGCCACGGAGGGUUAUAUGACGGUCAGUGUUAUCUUUAUGAUGGAUCGGCUCUCACCCAGAAACCUGGGAUAUGUCUACCUAUUGGGAAUCUUAAUAAGAAGUAGUCCAGAAAGUGGUGACAUGGGACAGUCUCUCAGCCAGACAGCCAUCUAUAAGCAUCCCUGCCUUGUUUAAAACCUACAGUGAUUCUCUACAUAAUCCGUCAAUCCAGGUAUCUCGUAAUAGCUUUCAAGAACCUCCAAGAUAUGGCAAUAAAAAGAGCAGAGCUCAGGGUUUGAGUUUAUCACUAAUAGCUUUGAGCCUUAGCUUCUUUAUUUGUAAUAUCGGAAUAAUAAUAUCCACCAUGCCAAACUCACCGGACUGCGUGAGGGUGAACAAAUGAGGCAUCAGAAAGCACUUUGCAAACCACCAGUGCAAAGUUGCUGUGCAAAUGUGGUUAUUUUCAUGGUGGUGCUCUGAUUCAGCCAACCUUAUUUCAUGACACCCUUCACACUGCUCUUCAGCUGGACCACAGCAUGCUGGGAUCACUCCCAUCUCUGAGCUGGGGCUCAGGCCAGUCCCCCAGAGAGCAGAUUCGGAGGCCAGGCUGCCCGGGGUCUGGAUGAUAACAGUACCUGCUCUCGAGGCAGUAGUAAGGACUAAAUGGGCUCCUGGCAUAAAGCCCUUGGAAUGGCGCCUUGCACGUCACGUCACUUGUGACACUCUAGUAGCAUGUGCUUUUCUUAUCCUACCGUGUCUUUCAGUUCUAGUCCAUGUCCUCUCCCAUCUAUGAAGUCUUCUUGCUUAGCUUUCUCCUACCUACAAAAUGUACCUAGAGCUUCUGUCACACAGGUUAACUGUUUAUUAUUCAUGAGGUGAUUGUCCUACUUGGUUAGAUGCAUGAAUUCAACAUAUAAUGAGCACCUGCUGUUACCAGGUUCUUUGCUAGACCAGGAGAAUAAAUAGAUACAAGACACGGAGUCCUCUCAUGAGGGGUGUGUGGCUGGGGGGAGAUGAUCAUUUCCCAUCUGUGAACAGGUGACCGAGCAGACAGUUACAAUGGGAGGUGCUAUAGACUGAAUGUUGGUGUUCCCCCCCUCAGCCCCCAUGCCAAAUUCAUAUGUUAAAUCCUAAUCUCCACUGCGGUGGUGCUUGGAGGUGGGGCCUUCAGAAGGUGAUUAGGUCCUGAGGGUGGGAUCCAGAGUUGGGCACCUGUUGACUUUUCUCCUUAGAAAAAGCCCCUCUCCUAUUUCCAUGAGUUGUCUCAUCUCCAAUAGCUUUCCCCAGCUUUCAUGUUUCUGUGCUCUUGUUUUUCACUUUUUCUCUCCCUUCCCUCCUACCUUUGCUCCUAAGACUUCACUCUUGGAACUCUGUGGAAUUUCCCUCCAGUUUUCCAAUAGAGAUCUGCUCCUCCUGUGUUCUCUCUCCCCAGCAUUUACGAAAGCGCCUUCGGACUUCAUGACGCAUCCCCUGAUGCCUCCAAGCCACUGGGCCCAGGUCAGAAGAGGGGUGUCCCUUUUCAGUACAUGCUCCUCUUUCACCUUCAACACAAGUCCUAACAUACCACGUUCAGGAAGACUUAAAAGAACAAAACCAUUGCAUGGUCUAUGGGUUAGCAAGUGGUUCACUGAGGGCAGCCUUUAUGGCCGUCAUGCCCAUGCUACGGGUGGGAAAACCCACGCUCAGAAAGAUAAAUAGCAUGCCUGGUAUUACAUAUCUUGUCUUCUGCUCUUUACCCUCUGAGUAGCCAGGGGGCCCCUUUAAAGCUUACCUUUCAGCUCACUUCCCGUGGAGUUUUCUGACCUCAUCCCCAAGUCUCAGUCCUCAGGCCGGCUUCCUUCAAGCUGAAGGAUUCCCAGGCAGGCCACUCCGCCGAGGCAUAGGCACAGGUGUGCAUUUUCAGGAGGACCUUCACAGCCUAACACAAGGAAUCGAGCAAUGGGCCGUUUUAGGCACUUGGCUCCCUUUACAUGGUGGUGGCGGGAACAGUAGUGGGAGGUGAGGCAAGCACAUCCAUCAGAGGCAGCCUUUUAGGGGCAUUUCAACUCCAAUCGAGGGGAAAGUGGUGGAAAUUAUUAGGUCUACCACUAGAGGGCAGAUUAGUCAAAUUUUGGAAUGUUUGCUGGCAAUUGGGAAGCCUUGUGAAUUUUUUUGUUUUCAUAUCCCUUCCACCCUAUGCCCCCCAUUAGACAAGAGACUAGAGACCAGGGUCACCCGAAAUAGAAAAAUUAAAGGCGUUUCCAUUGCUAUAGAUAAGUGUAGGUGCUCCUCAUCUUUGCUCAGUGUAUACAGUGUACUAGGCCUGCCCUAAGGAAGCAAACCGGGAGCAUGGUACUAACAGCCUAGUAUCCAGUGCCUGUUAUGUGCCAGGCAGCAUGCUAGGCCAUUUACCUACAUAACCUUCUUUGAUCCUCAUAACUGCCUUCUGAGGCAAAUUUUUAAAAUCAUUACUCUGCAGGUGAUGACAAGCUUGUUAAGGUUGAAUAUAUUGCUCAAAUGCAAGUAGCUAAUAAGUGGCAGCUGCGAGACUUGUUUUUGCUUUUGCUUUCUUUUUAGGGUUGCACCUG